Molecule: ribosomal RNA, 492 nt
Filed under: uncultured bacterium
Lineage: Bacteria
Description: partial 16S ribosomal RNA
Rfam family: Bacterial small subunit ribosomal RNA
Source: RNAcentral
AGUGAACGCUGGCGGUAGGCCUAACACAUGCAAGUCGAACGGCAGCACAGUAAGAGCUUGCUCUUACGGGUGGCGAGUGGCGGACGGGUGAGGAAUACAUCGGAAUCUACUUUUUCGUGGGGGAUAACGUAGGGAAACUUACGCUAAUACCGCAUACGACCUACGGGUGAAAGCAGGGGAUCUUCGGACCUUGCGCGAUUGAAUGAGCCGAUGUCGGAUUAGCUAGUUGGCGGGGUAAAGGCCCACCAAGGCGACGAUCCGUAGCUGGCCUGAGAGGAUGAUCAGCCACACUGGAACUGAGACACGGUCCAGACUCCUACGGGAGGCAGCAGUGGGGAAUAUUGGACAAUGGGCGCAAGCCUGAUCCAGCCAUACCGCGUGGGUGAAGAAGGCCUUCGGGUUGUAAAGCCCUGUUGUUGGGAAAGAAAAGCAGCAGGUUAAUACCCCGCUGUUCUGACGGUACCCAAAGAAUAAGCACCGGCUAACUUCGUG